UACGGUGGGGGUAAGCGUUGUUCGGAAUUACUGGGCGUAAAGGGCUCGUAGGCGGCCAACUAAGUCGGACGUGAAAUCCCCAGGCUCAACCUGGGAACUGCGUCCGAUACUGGAUGGCUUGAAUUCGGGAGAGGGAUGCAGAAUUCCAGGUGUAGCGGUGAAAUGCGUAGAUAUCUGGAGGAAUACCGGUGGCGAAGGCGGCAUCCUGGACCGACAUUGACGCUGAGGAGCGAAAGCUAGGGGAGCAAACGGG
RNAcentral lists this ribosomal RNA (253 nucleotides) under uncultured bacterium. RNAcentral describes it as "partial 16S ribosomal RNA". It matches the Rfam family "Bacterial small subunit ribosomal RNA", at positions 524 to 776 of the family's 1533-position model. The record is from RNAcentral.